UGCGUAGGCGGAUGUUUAAGUCUGUUGUGAAAUCCCCGGGCUCAACCUGGGAAUGGCAUUGGAUACUGGGCAUCUAGAGUGUGGUAGAGGGUAGUGGAAUUUCUGGUGUAGCGGUGAAAUGCGUAGAUAUCAGAAAGAACACCAAUGGCGAAGGCAACUACCUGGGCCAACACUGACGCUGAGGUACGAAAGCGUGGGAGCAAACA
Molecule: ribosomal RNA, 206 nt
Filed under: uncultured bacterium
Lineage: Bacteria
Description: partial 16S ribosomal RNA
Rfam family: Bacterial small subunit ribosomal RNA
Source: RNAcentral